This 500-nucleotide ribosomal RNA is filed under the name uncultured microorganism. Its description in RNAcentral is "bacterial SSU rRNA". It matches the Rfam family "Archaeal small subunit ribosomal RNA", at positions 234 to 734 of the family's 1478-position model. The record is from RNAcentral.
AGUGGGUGUAACGUACCUACUAGCCUACGACGGGUACGGGUUGUGAGAGCAAGAGCCCGGAGAUGAAUUCUGAGACACGAAUCCAGGCCCUACGGGGUGCAGCAGGCGCGAAAACUUUACAAUGCGGGAAACCGUGAUAAGGGAAUCUCGAGUGCCAGCAUAUAAUGUUGGCUGUCCAGAUGCCUAAAAAGCAUCUGUUAGCAAGGGCCGGGCAAGACCGGUGCCAGCCGCCGCGGUAACACCGGCGGCCCGAGUGGUAACCGUUAUUAUUGGGUCUAAAGGGUCUGUAGCCGGCCAUGUAAGUCCCUUGGGAAAUCUGGCAGCUCAACUGUCAGGCUGCUAGGGGAUACUGCUUGGCUUGGGACCGGGAGAGGUGAGAGGUACCUUGAGGGUAGGGGUGAAAUCUUGUGAUCCUCGGGGGACCACCAGUGGCGAAGGCGUCUCACCAGAACGGACCUGACGGCAAGGGACGAAAGCUAGGGGCACGAACCGGAUUAGAU